CCCAGACUCCUACGGGAGGCAGCAGUGGGGGAUAUUGCACAAUGGGGGAAACCCUGAUGCAGCGACGCCGCGUGAGUGAAGAAGUAUUUCGGUAUGUAAAGCUCUAUCAGCAGGGAAGAAAAAAGACGGUACCUGACUAAGAAGCCCCGGCUAACUACGUGCCAGCAGCCGCGGUAAUACGUAGGGGGCAAGCGUUAUCCGGAUUUACUGGGUGUAAAGGGAGCGUAGACGGCAAUACAAGUCGGAAGUGAAAUACCCGGGCUCAACCUGGGAACUGCUUUGGAAACUGUAUGGCUGGAGUGCUGGAGAGGUAAGCGGAAUUCCUAGUGUAGCGGUGAAAUGCGUAGAUAUUAGGAGGAACACCAGUGGCGAAGGCGGCUUACUGGACUGUAACUGACGUUGAGGCUCGAAAGCGUGGGGAGCAAACAGGAUUAGAUACCCCUGUA
RNAcentral lists this ribosomal RNA (446 nucleotides) under uncultured bacterium. RNAcentral describes it as "bacterial SSU rRNA". It matches the Rfam family "Bacterial small subunit ribosomal RNA", at positions 330 to 792 of the family's 1533-position model. The record is from RNAcentral.